Molecule: ribosomal RNA, 493 nt
Filed under: uncultured bacterium
Lineage: Bacteria
Description: partial 16S ribosomal RNA
Rfam family: Bacterial small subunit ribosomal RNA
Source: RNAcentral
GACGAACGCUGGCGGCGUGCUUAACACAUGCAAGUCGAACGCUGAAGCCCUUUCGGGGGUGGAUGAGUAGCGAACGGGUGAGUAACACGUGGGUAAUCUGCCCUGUACUUCGGGAUAAGCCUUGGAAACGGGGUCUAAUACCGGAUAGGACCUGUCCUCGCAUGGGGGUGGGUGGAAAGUUCCGGCGGUAUGGGAUGAGCCCGCGGCCUAUCAGCUUGUUGGUGGGGUAGUGGCCUACCAAGGCGACGACGGGGAGCCGGCCUGAGAGGGUGGCCGGUCACAAUGGGACUGAGACACGGACCAGACUCCUACGGGGGGCAGCAGUGGGGAAUCUUGCGCAAUGGGCGAAAGCCUGACGCAGCAACGCCGCGGGGGGGAUGACGGCCUUCGGGUUGUAAACCUCUUUCGACAUCGACGAAGGGGCCCUGUUGUGGGGUUUUGACGGUAGGUGUAGAAGAAGCACCGGCUAACUACGUGCCAGCAGCCGCCGCCG